Molecule: non-coding RNA, 46 nt
Organism: Trichobilharzia regenti
Lineage: Eukaryota; Metazoa; Platyhelminthes; Trematoda; Strigeidida; Schistosomatidae
Source: Rfam
GUACUGCUGAAGAAUCCCAGACUAGGGCGAAACAGCUGUCCAGUAC